CAACCCUCGAGCCCCACGCGGCUUGGUGUUGGGGACCGGCGAUGGUCCUGCCCCGGCAGGCGCGCGCCGCCCCCGAAAUGAAUCGGCGGUCUCGUCGCGGCCUCCCCUGCGUAGUAGCACAACCUCGCACCGGGAGCGCGGCGCGGCCACUGCCGUAAAACGCCCAACCUCUCUCCAGAG
Molecule: unclassified non-coding RNA, 180 nt
Filed under: uncultured Metarhizium
Lineage: Eukaryota; Fungi; Ascomycota; Sordariomycetes; Hypocreales; Clavicipitaceae
Description: sequence contains ITS2
Source: RNAcentral